GGACUACCAGUGGCGAAGGCGCCUGACCAAAACGUGUCCGACGGUGAGGAACGAAAGCUGGGGGAGCGAACGGGAUUAGAUACCCCGGUAGUCCCAGCUGUAAAUAAUGCGGACUGUGGUGUUGCUUCAGAGUUAAUCUGCAGCAGUGCUGUAGCGUAGGUGCUAAGUCCGCCGCCUGGGGAGUACGGCCGCAAGGUUGAAACUUAAAGGAAUUGGCGGGGGAGCACCACAAGGGGUGGAUGCUACGGUUUAAUUGGAUACAACGCCGUGAACUUCACCAAGGGCGACGGCAGAAUGAAGGCCAGACUAAAGAUCUUGCCUAACAAGCCGAGAGGUGUUGCAUGGCCAUCGUCAGCUCGUGGCGUGAGUUGUCUGGUUAAGUCCAGCAACGAGCGAGACCCAUACCAUUAAUUGCUACUUUUACCUUUAGUAAGAGGCACCUUAAUGGGACUGCCCGCGUUAAGUGGGAGGAAGGAGUGGGCGACGGUAGGUCAGUAUGGCCCGAAUCCCUUGGGCUACACGCGGCAUACAAUGGCUGGAACAAUGGGUUGCUACUCCGAAAGGAGGCGCUAAUCCCCUAAAUCCAGUCUUAGUUCGGAUUGAGGGUUGAAACUCACCCUCAUGAAGCUGGAAUCCCUAGUAAUCGCGUGUCAUCAUCGCGCGGUGAUACGUCCCCGCUCCUUGCACACACCGCCCGU
RNAcentral lists this ribosomal RNA (698 nucleotides) under uncultured euryarchaeote. RNAcentral's name for it is "bacterial SSU rRNA". It matches the Rfam family "Archaeal small subunit ribosomal RNA", at positions 654 to 1353 of the family's 1478-position model. Lineage: Archaea; Methanobacteriati; Methanobacteriota. The record is from RNAcentral.